RNAcentral lists this ribosomal RNA (496 nucleotides) under uncultured bacterium. Its description in RNAcentral is "bacterial SSU rRNA". It matches the Rfam family "Bacterial small subunit ribosomal RNA", at positions 28 to 526 of the family's 1533-position model. The record is from RNAcentral.
GACGAACGCUGGCGGCGCGCCUAACACAUGCAAGUCGAACGGGGUCCUUUUAGGAAGCUUGCUUCUUGGCUGGACCUAGUGGCGGACGGGUGAGUAACACGUGAGCAACCUGCCCUGAAGUGGGGGAUAACACUCGGAAACGGGUGCUAAUACCGCAUAACAUCCUCGGAUGGCAUCAUCUGGGGAUCAAAGGAGCAAUCCGCUUUGGGAUGGGCUCGCGCCCGAUUAGAUAGUUGGUGGGGUAAUGGCCUACCAAGUCUGCGAUCGGUAGCCGGACUGAGAGGUUGAUCGGCCACAUUGGGACUGAGACACGGCCCAGACUCCUACGGGAGGCAGCAGUGGGGGAUAUUGCACAAUGGGGGAAACCCUGAUGCAGCAACGCCGCGUGAAGGAAGAAGGUUCUCGGAUCGUAAACUUCUAUCAACGGGGAAGAAAAGAAUGACGGUACCCGAGUAAGAAGCCCCGGCUAACUACGUGCCAGCCGCCGCUGUAACAC